Molecule: long non-coding RNA, 952 nt
Filed under: Nicotiana benthamiana
Lineage: Eukaryota; Viridiplantae; Streptophyta; Magnoliopsida; Solanales; Solanaceae
Description: long non-coding RNA (NBEN_LNC033623)
Source: RNAcentral
CUUGUGACUUAGUUAUAGUUUCAAAAUUAGUAUUCUUCUAAUGACUUUCUCUUUUCCUGUUGAACAUGUACAAUGGCUUGGGUCUGCUGAAAUUUUAAAGAACUUAGGCCCAAACUCAGUGUUGACAUAUCCCGGGAGCCCGGAGUUAGUUGUCAUCCCUGUUACUACUAGGCCAGCCUCUUUGAGGCCCAAACACCAAGGUCCUUUCUUUCCCUUUGCUCCUUUAUUUACUGCUUUCAUUAUUCUAUAGGCACAGUAUGUCGUUAUGAUCCAGAAGUUUCUUUGAUUCAAGCUUCUGAAAUGAUAGUUUUUUCUCCUGAUCCUGGAUCUUACAUAAGUUUGCUUAGCUGCAGAAGAGUCAACUUUUUAAUUAGGAAAAAAAGAAGGAAUUAAUCUGUUCAUUUAGUAAAAAUUAAACAUAUUGAUGACUGGGGAGAGAAAAUAACGUAGCAGGUACCUUGGUCACUAUGAGCAAUUGAGACCAUUAAGGUUAGGAAAAUGAACAACAGAACAAGAAAGAUACACUUGUUUGCCGCCAUGCAUGCUACGAAGAAUAUUAGUUUGUUUUGUUGGCCUAUAUAUAUCUACACUGUUAACUAACAGUUUCACUUUUCACGCAUUACCUUAUGUAUCAAUUUAAGGGUCUAGUUAGACUAGUUUUUUCAUUUAAAGUACUGUUACUUUCAAAGUGAGUUAAAAGCAUUUUUACUCCUUCACUACAAAUUCUAAGAAAUCGAGAAUCGAAGUCAUCUCAAAAUGAAGAAUGGCUAAAAUUUGACGAGCUUAUGUACAACUCAGUAAGUUUUGCAGUCAUGUGGCAUAUACACCAGAUUUGUGUGCAUAUGCACCAGACUUUUUGCAUUUGUUUUUUCCUUACAACUCUAUAUUGAAUUGCUUCAAUUUUACAGGUUUUAUACCAGCAAUUGUUGUUGAUUGUAGAUUCAAGUCUCAA